Molecule: ribosomal RNA, 460 nt
Filed under: uncultured bacterium
Lineage: Bacteria
Description: partial 16S ribosomal RNA
Rfam family: Bacterial small subunit ribosomal RNA
Source: RNAcentral
CCUACGGGAGGCUGCAGUGAGGAAUAUUGGUCAAUGGACGAGAGUCUGAACCAGCCAAGUAGCGUGAAGGAUGACUGCCCUAUGGGUUGUAAACUUCUUUUAUAAAGGAAUAAAACGAGGCACGUGUGCCUUUUUGCAUGUACUUUAUGAAUAAGGAUCGGCUAACUCCGUGCCAGCAGCCGCGGUAAUACGGAGGAUCCGAGCGUUAUCCGGAUUUAUUGGGUUUAAAGGGAGCGUAGAUGGGUUGUUAAGUCAGUUGUGAAAGGUUGCGGCUCAACCGUAAAAUUGCAAUUGAUACUGGCAGUCUUGAGUACAGUUGAGGUAAGCGGAAUUCGUGGUGUAGCGGUGAAAUGCUUAGAUAUCACGAAGAACCCCGAUUGCGAAGGCAGCUUACUAAACUGUGACUGACAUUGAUGCUCGAAAGUGUGGGUAUCAAACAGGAUUAGAUACCCGAGUAGUC